Molecule: ribosomal RNA, 426 nt
Filed under: uncultured bacterium
Lineage: Bacteria
Description: bacterial SSU rRNA
Rfam family: Bacterial small subunit ribosomal RNA
Source: RNAcentral
AGGGAAUCUUCCGCAAUGGACGAAAGUCUGACGGAGCAACGCCGCGUGAGCGAAGAAGGUCUUCGGAUCGUAAAGCUCUGUUGUUAGGGAAGAACAAGUAUCGUUCGAAUAGGGCGGUACCUUGACGGUACCUAACCAGAAAGCCACGGCUAACUACGUGCCAGCAGCCGCGGUAAUACGUAGGUGGCAAGCGUUAUCCGGAAUUAUUGGGCGUAAAGCGCGCGCAGGCGGUCCUUUAAGUCUGAUGUGAAAGCCCACGGCUCAACCGGGGAGGGUCAUUGGAGACUGGGGGACUUGAGUGCAGAAGAGGAGAGCGGAAUUCCACGUGUAGCGGUGAAAUGCGUAGAGAUGUGGAGGAACACCAGUGGCGAAGGCGGCUCUCUGGUCUGUAACUGACGCUGAGGCGCGAAAGCGUGGGGAGCGAAC